CAGGGAGACAAAACUGAUUAUGAUGUCUGAUUAAAAUAUUAGGCCUUAAUCCUGUCACCUUAGGUCGAUCGGUACCUCAGAUUGAGAGCUAUAAAAUGAGAAGAAAUUCUUAUAUUUGGUUUUCGGUUUUAGUUCCUAAACUUGUCUAGGUCACACCCAACAAACUUUCUCCUGGGCUAUUAGCUCAGGCGGUUAGAGCGCACCCCUGAUAAGGGUGAGGUCCCUGGUUCAAGUCCAGGAUGGCCCAUUCGGUGUUGGGGGUAUGGCUCAGUUGGUAGAGCGCCUGCUUUGCAAGCAGGAUGUCAGCGGUUCGAGUCCGCUUACCUCCACUGAUCAACUACCUGAUAACUCAAAUUGGAGAUUGUUAUUUGUUAAAUGUGAUUUAGAUGUUGUUCAACUGAAGGAACCUAGCUUCCUAUCACUCCUGAAUUAACUUUAGGCUGAUAAGACGCUGGGCUCACUGGAUGUUCUAAGGGAUAUUCAGUUUGUUUCAGCAGAACCUUGACAACUGCAUAGGAAAAUCUAGAAAAAUAAAGCAUCUCAUAGAUGCAUAGAAGUUUUUUCAUUUUUUAAUGAUUAGAUUUUUAUGUUCAAUUCUUGAGUUAGAGCAAAUUUUCUAUUACUUAAUUCACUUAUGAUUAAGUGAUGACUAAUUAAUUUUAGAUAAGUGUAUAGAUUAAU
This 681-nucleotide transfer RNA is filed under the name uncultured cyanobacterium. RNAcentral describes it as "partial 16S-23S ribosomal RNA intergenic spacer". The stretch from base 257 to 329 matches the Rfam family "tRNA". Lineage: Bacteria; Bacillati; Cyanobacteriota. The record is from RNAcentral.